RNAcentral lists this long non-coding RNA (309 nucleotides) under Coffea arabica (coffee). RNAcentral's name for it is "long non-coding RNA (CARA_LNC004040)". The record is from RNAcentral. Lineage: Eukaryota; Viridiplantae; Streptophyta; Magnoliopsida; Gentianales; Rubiaceae.
AUUCACAAGUCCCUUACAUAAAAGGCAAACUCCGGUGAUUGAUUUCUCUCAUGCCCAACCGCUCUCCAUCUCUCUCUGUGUAGGCUAAGCAAGAGACAAGAUAUAUUCCUUGUUCUAGGCGUAUUCCUGCUUCCCUGUUCAUCUUCUCCGGUACUAUGGGUUCGUCGGAAGUUAUGGAUUCCGGGAGGUUCCCAGCUGCCCAGAAGUCAAACUUUGCUCAUACUUGUAGUCGUCUCAGUCAAUACUUGAAGGAGAAGGGUAGCUUUGGAGAUCUCAGCCUUGGUCUCACCCGAAACUUUGAGCCUAAUG